This 448-nucleotide ribosomal RNA is filed under the name uncultured bacterium. RNAcentral's name for it is "partial 16S ribosomal RNA". It matches the Rfam family "Bacterial small subunit ribosomal RNA", at positions 354 to 793 of the family's 1533-position model. The record is from RNAcentral.
GUGGGGAAUAUUGGACAAUGGGGGGAACCCUGAUCCAGCCAUGCCGCGUGUGUGAAGAAGGCCUUUUGGUUGUAAAGCACUUUAAGCGAGGAGGAGGCUACCGAGAUUAAUACUCUUGGAUAGUGGACGUUACUCGCAGAAUAAGCACCGGCUAACUCUGUGCCAGCAGCCGCGGUAAUACAGAGGGUGCAAGCGUUAAUCGGAUUUACUGGGCGUAAAGCGCGCGUAGGUGGCCAAUUAAGUCAAAUGUGAAAUCCCCGAGCUUAACUUGGGAAUUGCAUUCGAUACUGGUUGGCUAGAGUAUGGGAGAGGAUGGUAGAAUUCCAGGUGUAGCGGUGAAAUGCGUAGAGAUCUGGAGGAAUACCGAUGGCGAAGGCAGCCAUCUGGCCUAAUACUGACACUGAGGUGCGAAAGCAUGGGGAGCAAACAGGAUUAGAAACCCGUGUAC